This 418-nucleotide small RNA is filed under the name Arabidopsis thaliana (thale cress). Its description in RNAcentral is "ATSL077710". The record is from RNAcentral. Lineage: Eukaryota; Viridiplantae; Streptophyta; Magnoliopsida; Brassicales; Brassicaceae.
AUUUCCUCUAGUAAGAAUUAAAUUUAUAUUUAGCGUGUUCUUUUAGUGAACGCAGCCACAACAAUAGCAAAGAAGAAAAACAGUUCUACGGUGAGAAGAAAAUAUAGUGAUAAGAGAGAACUAUCACAAAAGAUGAACUACGAUGAAGAUUGAAGUGUCGCUGGUUAAUUUCAGCGAUUCAUCGAAUGCAGUUGCAACUCAAUCGGCGACUCAUCCAAAGUUGUUAUUUUAAGUUCUAAUGUCGUUUUACUUACCUGCUACUUCUCAUGACAAUUCGUCUUACUCCGUUGUUGCCGUUGUCGCAACGUUCAGUAAAAGCACACGCUAAUUAAUUUUUAAAAAAAUGAAAAAAUAGCUAUAUUCACACCUAUAAUCCAAUCCCCUUAAUAGAAACGUAACUACUUUUCCUUUUUUUCUU